Molecule: long non-coding RNA, 1363 nt
Organism: Vicia villosa (hairy vetch)
Lineage: Eukaryota; Viridiplantae; Streptophyta; Magnoliopsida; Fabales; Fabaceae
Exons: 3
Source: RefSeq, a predicted model, not a curated record
AUUAAUUCAAUAAACUACAUCAUUACAUUCCAAAUCAUAUGUUAAUUAAUUCAUUAAUUGGAAAAAUAAAAGGGGAUUAGGGUUGUUACUUAUGGCUAUCGGUGUUCUUCUUCAAUCGUGAACUCACGCAGACAGCGGUGGCUUCCCUCCUUCAUCAUCCAUGGCCGAAACUUCUUGAAGCCUCGUCACCGAUCACUUCAACUCAUCUCUUAGUUCCUCAAUAGUUCAGACGUGACGGCGUCAUUCCCUCCAACACAAAUUCUCAUCGCACAUCUCUCAAUUCAUCUUUGAACUCGCCUCUCCGAUCUCUCCGUCCUCGAUUGUGGUUCACGUAAAAAUAAAAGACUGGUGGAAUAGUUCGGGUUGAGAUAUGCGAUGCCUUACUCGCCGGAGAAAGUCAUGCGCCUCUUUCAUGUCGUCGAUGAGAAAAGCACUCCGACGUUACCUCCAGGAUGUUGUUCGUGAUGGUGAUGCCGUUGUCGUUUACAGGUGAUGACAGGCGGGGGAAGAUCAAAUUAAAUUAAGAACGAAAACGUUACGUGUUGAGUCGUUUGCGAUACGAUACAAUGAUUUGAAGUUGAUUGAAUAAAGAUGAAGGUUGAAUCGUCUGAAGAUUGAUGAUGGAGCAGGUUGAAGAUAUUAUGGAGAAUUGAUGAUGGAGAUUUUUGUGAUGAAGAUGAAGAUUCGUGGUGAUGAAUAAAGGAAUUGAGGAUUGGAGGAUUUUCUAUGGUGAAAUUGAAUUCAGUAUGACUGUGGAGGAUCAAGAAGAUGGAGAUGAUGAAAGUGUGAAGAGUCUGCGGAAGAUGAGAUGAAUAUUGGAGAAACAUUUGUUACGUUAUCCUCAAGGCGAGUCCUCUUUUCUGAAUUUUCUUUUUUUGUCACCUACUGUUAUGAGUUAGUCUCUUCUUUCUCCUUUCUGAAUUUUCUGUUAUGAGUUUUCAGUUUCUGUUAAAGUUUCUCCUCAAAAUUCUGUAAUUAGUGAACCAGUUUAAAGCUGAGACGGUUUCGGUUUUAUCCUCUGAAUAGCUGCUGGUGAACCCCUCUUUUUAUAUGGUGCAGGCUUUGGUUUUAUCAAGUGCAGGUUUUUUAUUCUCAAAAGUGUGGAUGCGACUCUUAACCAUGGAUGCAACGUGUUGUGGGAACUUGAAGAUUAGUAAACUUAGGUUAUGCUUUUGUUUUGUCUGUGAUGUAAAGCUCUUUGGUUAAUCCUUAUUUUUGUAAUUUGAUUUUUUGUAAUAGCCAUGUGUGGAGUUUUGAAUGAAUUUGAUGAUGUUGAGUGGAACUCGAAACGGUAUUGUAAUCUUGUAACUUUUGAACUCGAAGACACAUUUCCAAUAUGCAAAUCAUUUCUUCUCUUUUUUCA